AGCUAAGACGCUGGCACCUUAAUUCACACGCCGGGUAUUUUAUAUUAAUAUACACACUAGGUAUUUCCCUCACUCUUUGGGGAGCUUUGGGGCCUGGUGACCCCAGGCAGGUCAGAUGUAGCACCCAGGUUCAAGGUACUGGGGUGCCUGGCAACUACCACCACAGGAGGACGCACUGGGACUCAGGGUUACUCAGCUACUGUGUUGCUGCUGGUAACAGGGUGAGAAGGAACCUGAUCACAGGCCUGAAACCACGGCGAAGGGCUGCUUGUGAUGGCCCAAUUUUGCCUUACUUUGGAACGCUGUCAGGUUGUUUCCCCUUAGCCAAACGGCCAACAGUCCCUCCACCUCUUGGACUGUUAGGGCUUUAAGCAGCUCAAAGAUUAGAAAAUAAAGUUUACAACGACGGAAGAACUAAGCAUUUGGAGUCAUGAAUCUGGAACACAGGACAGGGUAAAUAAUUGUAAGGGUCCGUGAUUCACGGUUCAAACGGAGAGCAGCAGAACUUCCUGCCUGCAGGGGUCUCCCCAUUUUCGAAUGGAGAUCCCCCGGAUGUUAUGCUUUACAAGGUCAAGCUUGUAGGGUAGGAGUGGGUGACUUUUAACCUUUCUUUCCCUUGAGUUCUUGGCUCUAUCUCCAGAGCUACGGGUACCUUUGUGACUGGUUAGGACUCCGGGAGUUUCCGCCAUAGUAGUGGCCAGCUGACCACGAGUUCCUGGAUCCAGAUUCUCUUUUCCGGGGAACAGAAGACUUAGGCCUAGUCUUCCAAACUGCCAGUUUGCAGCCUGUCACGGAGUCAGCCUGGCUCUGGUUGACUCGGUCCUUUCAGGGUAAAUUAGCGGAUUGCCCAGCUUAUCACUGACUUAAUAAUAUCAAGGGGAAAAAAAAACUAUCAUUUUUUAAAAAAACAAAUUACUGAAGUUUUUAGGUACAGAUUAAAAAAAA
Molecule: long non-coding RNA, 945 nt
Filed under: Rattus norvegicus (Norway rat)
Lineage: Eukaryota; Metazoa; Chordata; Mammalia; Rodentia; Muridae
Description: long non-coding RNA NONRATT021181
Source: RNAcentral